Molecule: ribosomal RNA, 240 nt
Filed under: uncultured bacterium
Lineage: Bacteria
Description: partial 16S ribosomal RNA
Rfam family: Bacterial small subunit ribosomal RNA
Source: RNAcentral
ACGAGUGGCGAACGGGUGAGUAAUACAUAGGAAUCUACCCAGUAGCGGGGGACAACUUGGGGAAACUCAAGCUAAUACCGCAUACGCCCUACGGGGGAAAGCGGGGGACCUUCGGGCCUCGCACUAUUGGAUGAGCCUAUGUCAGAUUAGCUUGUUGGUAGGGUAACGGCCUACCAAGGCGACGAUCUGUAGCUGGUCUGAGAGGACGAUCAGCCACACUGGGACUGAGACACGGCCCAG